GGGAGAUGGGCGCCUUCCACUGGCCUUUAACGAGAAGGGCAAGGGCCCUGUACACAAAGCCUUCUUCGCUAAUUUCAUUUGUGCACAAAGCAAAGCCCUUCUCCUUUUCCUCCCCCUAGGGUUGGGACUGAAUUUACUCUGGGUCUUGAAGUGUGGAAAAAGUAAACACUGCUCUAUUUGGAUUCCACUCACUGGUUUCUCCUGAGCCCAACAGAGCAGAGCCUGAGAGCAACCCCACGAGAAAACCACGAUCCCGGGUAACGCCAGGAGUUCCAGACAGUGCGAGCAGAGCAGCAAAGCAAGGCAAAAACCCCUGAGGUGGGAAAGAAAUGAGAAGGAGAAACACUGGGCUUAUUCUUAAUCGCUUUGCAUUUCCACAGAAAGCACUGUCAGCCCACAGAAGCUUCGGGAACCAUAGCACCCCCACCCCCACUCACCGGCGUGGCUAGGCCUGGCCAUGUCUGUCACCAAAUCUGUCCUGCCCUGCGACUCACUGGGUACCAUGUGAGCCAAGCCUGCACCAGUGUGAGGACGGAACUGCUGUGUCUGUGCGACCAAGUGGGUGCUUAAGAAGGACUCCUCGAGGCAAGACUUAUUUUUUCUUAGGAGACGGCCUGGCUUUGUGGUCCAGGCUGGCCUUGAACUUGCUAUGUAGCCAAGGCUGGCCUCCAACACACAAUGAUCCUCCUGCCUCAGCCUCCCCAGUGCUGGGAUUACAGGGAUGUGGCACCACAUCCAGCCGAAGCAAGAGUUCAAAAUUAAAGCAUCCUGUGCCCCCAGAUGUCUGGCUCUGCCUUGCUGUCCCAGGCCAGCAGCCUCUAGUGGGGCACGAGGGGCCAUGGGGCCACAGCUCAACUCCCAGACACCCUCUCUGGGCUCAGACUCUUGAGCGAAGGGACAGCAAAGUGUGUGAGCCCGCCCGGAUCUGGCCAUCAGCUGACGCUGCUCCCCAGAGUGGGGGAGCAGCCCCCCCCACCCCCGGCCGGAUGCUCAGUUUCCCUUCCACUGAAGUCUGUUUCCCCGGGCAUGGUGGCGCACGCCUGAAACCCAAGCACUCUGGGAGGCUGAGGCAGGAGGAUCGCAAGUUUGUGCCCGACCUGAGAAACAGCAACUUAGUGAGACUCUGUCUCAAGAUAAAAAAUCAGGAGGCUGUAGCUCAGCGGGGGGGACCUGGGUUCAAUCCCCCAGUGCUGAAAAAAACCUGUUUCUAGUUAAAAGUAGCCAGAGCUAAUUUCUCCCAUUUGUAGCUGAAAAAUCCCAAAGGACGCGGCUCACAGCAACCCGUCAGCACGCGGGUGUGCGUGGACUCGCACGUGCACGUCGCGGGGGCACAGCGCUGUCUCGUCCGCAGGCGACUCACUCACGAGCGUGCGCAGUCUGACCCCGGAUUCCCUCUCCACAUCCGGCCACGAGCUGAUGAGAAACCGGGAGGGCCAGUGCACUGCGUGAGCGCGAGUGUGAGAGCGUGCAGCCUGGGGAAAAAUCCUGCCGACUCGCCACGCUGUUGGAGCGCACGCCCGCUCUACCAGGGGCGCGGGCCUUGCCGUCAGCGUCCUCUGCAGGCGCAGCCACCCCAAGCUUCCGCCGACCCUGACCCCAGCCCCAGCCCUCAACCCACGACCCGAGGCCACAGAGGCCCACAGGGUGAGCCCGUCUAACCCGGGCACCCAGGCUUUCACGCUGGAGGAGUGGCCGGGGAGGGGAGGGAGAGAGACAGAGGGAGGGAGAGACAGAGGGACAGAGAGAGACAGAGACAGAGAGACAGAGACAGGGAGAGAGACGAGAGAGAGACAGAGAGACAGAGGGAGAGAGAGAGGCCAUCUCCCCUCCCCUCUCCCCCACUCCCUCCGACAGUGCAGAGCAGGCUGCUGCCCAGCAGGAAGGAAAAGGCCACCAUCAGGGCAAGGCAAGUGUUGUGGGCACAGCGGCCCUGUGUUGCUUGCCUGUCUGCACACGGAGUCACCUGCCCGCUCCUCGGAUUUCUGCAGCUCCCCUGCGGCUCUGUCUGUGGCCCAGGCCCUGCUGGCGUGGAGUUUGUCCGACCCUCUGCGAGUGAGGCCCGGCACAGAUGGACGUUGCUCUCUGCUGUCCCUAGAACCCGGUGUCCCUCGCCUUUAGUCCACAGCAGGUGCUGUCUGCCGGCCCUGGCUCCCGCUUUGGCACCGAGUCCCCCUGGAGGCGAGGCGGGUUCUGCUUGUGUCGCAGGUGGGCACCCUGAGACACUCGGGGUGUUUGUCACCCAGCUGGUGGUGCCUCUUGGUGGCCUCGAGUCCCACGCAAGGGAGCUUUGGCUUGCAGGUCCCUGAACCCGGGACACCUGGCCACCAGACCCGGACCUGCACGCCCUUCUGGGGACCCUGCAGGGCCAGGGAGGCGCAAGGCACAGCACCCAAGACCACGCCCUUCCCCGGGGGGGGGGGUCACAGUGCUGGGAGCUCCUGGAUCCCCAGAAAUUCUCAUGAAACCAGCCAUGGACGGAGCUCGCCUGCCCCACACAACAGCACACAGCACACUGGCUUUUUGUGUUUGUUUUUAGUGGUUUUCUGAGACAGGGCCUCACUCUGUAGCCCAGGCUGGCCUCAGACUCAUGGUCAUCCUCCUGCCUCAGGCUCCUGUGGCACCACCAUGUCACUGGCGGUUUUUGAGUGCCUCACCUGAUUUGAAAAUUUGGAGCGAUAACCCAGACGUGCUUGUUCAGGCUUCCUAUUUUCCUUCGAUCUCUUGAACAGAAUCUGCCUGCAGAGCUGUCUUCUGGAGGUCUCUCUGUGGCCCGGGCCUGGGGGACUGCACUCUGCGGCCGUCCCAGGCCCAGUGGGGUCCGCACACCACGUCACAGUGACCCCUGCCCCUCCACCCCUCCCCGCCCCCGGGGAGGUGACACCCUGACCGCCUCUUUCUCACCUCGUUUAGGAGCUGGCUUGGACCACAGUGGGGCUUCUCAGGGUCUUCCCUGGGGCCACCCCAAGAAACUGCUCUGAUUGUGGGGUCCCUGUGCCCCGCACCGUGCUGUGAGGGGAAGUGUCCUUGGCUGCAUUCACCCCCGCCCUCUGGGAAAGGUUUCAGUGCCCUGGCAUCAAAUUUAUAACCAUGUUGUAUGUGACCCAUUGUCCUUGUCUCACCGGGGGUUGAACCCAGGGCCUUCACGCUGAGCUACACCCCACCCUUUUCUCAUUUUGUAUUUGGAGACAGGUCUCACUGAGUUGCCCCAGCGGGGCUUGAUCCUCCUGCCUCAGCGUCCGGAGCGUGGGUUUUUUGGGUGUGCACCACCACGCCCUGCUCAGCACUGCGGGUUUGCAGCAACUUUACUUGGUUCCCACAUAAAAGCAAACUCUUGUCUGUCCUCGUUUUCCAGUGUGGUAAGGUUUUCAUCCUGUGUCACUCCAUUUAUCCUCGUUCUUGACUUGACUUCCAGUGACAGUUAACUAAUUAGUGCUCUUCAGACGCUGCCUCUCUCUACAGAACACAGAACAACAGUCUUCCUCUCCAUGGAGCAAGAGGAUCUCUUGCGAUUCUUGGGACCCUACUUUCCUCCUGUUAAUGAUAAAGACCUAGGCGCAGAAAAAACACAAGGGAAAAGCAGCAGAGGCGUGGUCACCCUUGGUGGCGGCUCCCAGCGGGAUGAUGGGGGACCCAGCCCCUCAGAGACUCUACCUUGUUGGUCACCCUGAGGGUCCAGGGCUGAGAGACCUUUUAACUUUUUAAUAAAGAAGAUGAAUUCAAGUUUUUCCAUGAAAAUUUCCUUUAAAAACACUGCUUUAAUUUUUAAAAGAAACUCAAGCCUAGUGACCGAAUACACUCUUGGGGACAGAACUCUCCAUCUCCCGGGCCCACGAGGGCUGCCAGUGCGCCUGUGAUCAGGGAC
This 3862-nucleotide long non-coding RNA is filed under the name Heterocephalus glaber (naked mole-rat). Its description in RNAcentral is "lncRNA (ENSHGLG00100048211.1)". The record is from RNAcentral. Lineage: Eukaryota; Metazoa; Chordata; Mammalia; Rodentia; Bathyergidae.